RNAcentral lists this ribosomal RNA (427 nucleotides) under uncultured bacterium. RNAcentral describes it as "partial 16S ribosomal RNA". It matches the Rfam family "Bacterial small subunit ribosomal RNA", at positions 355 to 774 of the family's 1533-position model. The record is from RNAcentral.
UGGGGAAUAUUGCACAAUGGGCGCAAGCCUGAUGCAGCCAUGCCGCGUGUAUGAAGAAGGCCUUCGGGUUGUAAAGUACUUUCAGCGGGGAGGAAGGCGAUAAGGUUAAUAACCUUGUCGAUUGACGUUACCCGCAGAAGAAGCACCGGCUAACUCCGUGCCAGCAGCCGCGGUAAUACGGAGGGUGCAAGCGUUAAUCGGAAUUACUGGGCGUAAAGCGCACGCAGGCGGUCUGUCAAGUCGGAUGUGAAAGCCCCGGGCUCAACCUGGGAACUGCAUUCGAAACUGGCAGGCUAGAGUCUUGUAGAGGGGGGUAGAAUUCCAGGUGUAGCGGUGAAAUGCGUAGAGAUCUGGAGGAAUACCUGUGGCGAAGGCGGCCCCCUGGACAAAGACUGACGCUCAGGUGCGAAAGCGUGGGGAGCAAACA